AGAGUUUGAUCCUGGCUCAGAACGAACGCUGGCGGCAUGCCUAACACAUGCAAGUCGAACGAGACCUUCGGGUCUAGUGGCGCACGGGUGCGUAACGCGUGGGAAUCUGCCCUUGGGUNUCGGAAUAACAGUUGGAAACGACUGCUAAUACCGGAUGAUGACGUAAGUCCAAAGAUUUAUCGCCCAAGGAUGAGCCCGCGUAGGAUUAGCUAGUUGGUGAGGUAAAGGCUCACCAAGGCGACGAUCCUUAGCUGGUCUGAGAGGAUGAUCAGCCACACUGGGACUGAGACACGGCCCAGACUCCUACGGGAGGCAGCAGUGGGGAAUAUUGGACAAUGGGCGAAAGCCUGAUCCAGCAAUGCCGCGUGAGUGAUGAAGGCCUUAGGGUUGUAAAGCUCUUUUACCCGGGAUGAUAAUGACAGUACCGGGAGAAUAAGCUCCGGCUAACUCCGUGCCAGCAGCCGCGGUAAUACGGAGGGAGCUAGCGUUGUUCGGAAUUACUGGGCGUAAAGCGCACGUAGGCGGCUUUGUAAGUUAGAGGUGAAAGCCUGGAG
RNAcentral lists this ribosomal RNA (554 nucleotides) under uncultured freshwater bacterium. Its description in RNAcentral is "bacterial SSU rRNA". It matches the Rfam family "Bacterial small subunit ribosomal RNA", at positions 8 to 607 of the family's 1533-position model. The record is from RNAcentral.